AUCUUCCGCAAUGGGCGAAAGCCUGACGGAGCAACGCCGCGUGAGUGAUGAAGGGUUUCGGCCCGUAAAACUCUGUUAUUAGGGAAGAACAAAUGUGUAAGUAACAGUGCACAUCUGGACGGUACCUAAUCAGAAAGCCACGGCUAACUACGUGCCAGCAGCCCCGGUAAUACGUAGGGGGCAAGCGUUAUCCGGAAUUAUUGGGCGUAAAGCGCGCGUAGGCGGUUUCUUAAGUCUGAUGUGAAAGCCCACGGCUCAAACGUAGAGGGUCAUUGGAAACUGGGAAACUUGAGUGCAGAAGAGGAAAGUGGAAUUCCAUGUGUAGCGGUGAAAUGCGCAGAGAUAUGGGGGAACACCAGUGGCGAAGGCGACUUUCUGGUCUGUAACUGACGCUGAUGUGCGAAAGCGUGGGGAUCAAACA
RNAcentral lists this ribosomal RNA (421 nucleotides) under uncultured bacterium. Its description in RNAcentral is "bacterial SSU rRNA". It matches the Rfam family "Bacterial small subunit ribosomal RNA", at positions 361 to 774 of the family's 1533-position model. The record is from RNAcentral.